This 23-nucleotide microRNA is filed under the name Cervus elaphus (red deer). Its description in RNAcentral is "PC-3p-65287". Lineage: Eukaryota; Metazoa; Chordata; Mammalia; Artiodactyla; Cervidae. The record is from RNAcentral.
UGCGGGAUCUUUAGUUGUGGCAA